UGGAAGGAAGAAAGCUCGGGGUUAUGGUU
This 29-nucleotide non-coding RNA is filed under the name Mus musculus (house mouse). The record is from RNAcentral. Lineage: Eukaryota; Metazoa; Chordata; Mammalia; Rodentia; Muridae.